Molecule: ribosomal RNA, 468 nt
Filed under: uncultured bacterium
Lineage: Bacteria
Description: partial 16S ribosomal RNA
Rfam family: Bacterial small subunit ribosomal RNA
Source: RNAcentral
GACGAACGCUGGCGGCGUGCUUAACACAUGCAAGUCGAACGGAAAGGCCCUGCUUUUGUGGGGUGCUCGAGUGGCGAACGGGUGAGUAACACGUGAGUAACCUGCCCUUGACUUUGGGAUAACUUCAGGAAACUGGGGCUAAUACCGGAUAGGAGCUCCUGCUGCAUGGUGGGGGUUGGAAAGUUUCGGCGGUUGGGGAUGGACUCGCGGCUUAUCAGCUUGUUGGUGGGGUAGUGGCUUACCAAGGCUUUGACGGGUAGCCGGCCUGAGAGGGUGAACGGCGACCUUGGGCCUGAGAUACGGACCAGAGUGCUACGGGAGGCAGCGGGGGGGAACAUGGCCCAAUGGGCGGAAGCCUGAUGAAGCAAUGCCGCGUGCGGGAUGACGGCCUUCGGGUGGUAAACCGCUUUCGCCUGUGACGAAGCGUGAGUGACGGUAAUGGGUAAAGAAGCACCGGCUAACUACGUG